AGCUCCAAUAGCGUAUAUUAAAGUUGCUGCAGUUAAAAAGCUCGUAGUUGCAUUUCCGAGGCAAGGGAUUAGUCCGACCUUUGGUGGGUAUUUAAUCCUCUUGCCUCGUCCUUGAGUGGUGCUUCUUGGUAUUAAGUUAUCGAGGAGAUAGCCGCUCAUCGUUUACUGUGAGAAAAUUAGAGUGUUCAAAGCAGGCUUAUGCCGUUGAAUAUAUUAGCAUGGAAUAAUAAGAUAGGCCCUCGGUCCUAUUUUGUUGUUUUGAGAACCAAGGUAAUGAUGAAUAGGGACAGUUGGGGGUAUUCGUAUUCAGUUGUCAGAGGUGAAAUUCUUAGAUUUACGGAAGACGAACUACUGCGAAAGCAUUUACCAAGGAUGUUUUCA
This 381-nucleotide ribosomal RNA is filed under the name uncultured marine Chaetocerotaceae. RNAcentral's name for it is "SSU rRNA". It matches the Rfam family "Eukaryotic small subunit ribosomal RNA", at positions 587 to 972 of the family's 1831-position model. Lineage: Eukaryota; Bacillariophyta; Thalassiosirophyceae; Chaetocerotales; Chaetocerotaceae. The record is from RNAcentral.